UACGGGGGAUGCAAGCGUUAUCCGGAUUUAUUGGGUUUAAAGGGUGCGUAGGCUGUGAGGUAAGUCAGCGGUGAAAUGUCGGGGCUCAACCCCGGCCUGCCGUCGGAACUGGGUGCCUUGAGUGGGCGAGAAGUAUGCGGAAUGCGUGGUGUAGCGGUGAAAUGCAUAGAUAUCACGCAGAACCCCGAUUGCGAAGGCAGCAUACCGGCGCCCAACUGACGCUGAAGCACGAAAGCGUGGGUAUCGAACAGG
RNAcentral lists this ribosomal RNA (252 nucleotides) under uncultured Bacteroidales bacterium. RNAcentral describes it as "partial 16S ribosomal RNA". It matches the Rfam family "Bacterial small subunit ribosomal RNA", at positions 524 to 776 of the family's 1533-position model. Lineage: Bacteria; Pseudomonadati; Bacteroidota; Bacteroidia; Bacteroidales. The record is from RNAcentral.